Crotalus tigris (Tiger rattlesnake) is the source of this 385-nucleotide non-coding RNA. NCBI's taxonomy places the organism in Eukaryota, Metazoa, Chordata, Lepidosauria, Squamata, Viperidae. The record is from the annotation of a RefSeq genome assembly.
AUUUUAGUUAGUCAGUAUUAACAUUAUGGAAUUAACAAUCUUGGUGUGUUUCAUAUUGUCAUUCUCUGCAUGCAUUUCAUCCAGUCAUACUAUUACUGAAUCUGGUGGUGAUGUUAAGAGGCCUGGGGAGUCCAUAAAACUGACUUGUACAGUGUCUGGAUUUUCUGUAGCAGAGGCGUACAUGGACUGGAUCCGUCAACGUCCAGGCAAGGGACUGGAAUGGGUUGGACGUAUUGCAAAAAGUGGGACUGUAUAUUAUAAUAGUAUUUUGCAAAAUCGGUUAACCCUCACAAGUGAUACCUCCAAAAAUCAGGUAUUUGUCCAACUCAAUGGUCUAAAACCUGAAGACACUGCCUUGUAUUUCUGCGUAAAUAACACACAGUGA